GCGAUGGAGGUAAGAAGAGUAUCAUAGGCAAUUUAAUCCUCGCCAGGAGGACCACUUCGGACCUAAAACGUGAGUACUGCCACAGUUUGUUGGGUCAGAAAUCGUUUGGCUCAUGGGAACAAUCUUAAAAACAAACCCAAGAGUGGAAGACCCACCAAAGUGAAUCCUGAAGACAACAUGGAGGCUUUAAAAGUCAGCCUAAUGAUGAAGAUGCAGAGUACGACAAGAAGAGGAAGGUACAUCGGUCUACUAUGGGCAAGCCCAUCCGCAAGGCCGGAGGAAGGUCGCUUAGAAGUUUCUAAUGUUAAUUCAGUUGAAGGGAGAAAAUGACGUCAUUUUGACGUUUUGAUGAUACUAUGCGGUGUUUUUAUACGAUAUUAGAUAAAAACGUAAUACAUGUUUUUGUGGGGAUUUAGGAGCUCUACCACAUUUAAGUCCUGUCUGGUCCCUUCUUAAAACUUCAGAACACGUCAGAAUUAAUCGCAAAAGCAGCCUCAAAGAACAAUAAUUGCUAAAUGAUGUCAUCAUAGAAUUACAUCACAGAUUAAAAUGAGUCAUAUCAAAAUUGAGCUAGGAUUAUAUAUUUGUUCUUCAACAAAUAUUAAAAGUAUUGUGAUUAAUCCUUUGACUAGUUUACUUUAAUAUUAGUAAAAAAGUUUGCCUUGUAGAAAGUUCUAAAAUAUUUGAAUUGGUUUUCAAUGACAGAUAGUAGAGGCACAACUGGACGGAUGCAACUCUAGUAUUUGUGAAUAAAUGACAUGGUUCUAAUAACGAGGGGCUUUAUUUUUGAAUCAAUAUACAUACAACCAUAAGUAGCAUUAAUAAAUAAAUGUGCAUUGUGCACUCUUUUACAGA
Molecule: long non-coding RNA, 855 nt
Filed under: Lepeophtheirus salmonis (salmon louse)
Lineage: Eukaryota; Metazoa; Arthropoda; Copepoda; Siphonostomatoida; Caligidae
Description: uncharacterized LOC121115415
Source: RNAcentral